Molecule: ribosomal RNA, 395 nt
Filed under: Clostridioides difficile
Lineage: Bacteria; Bacillati; Bacillota; Clostridia; Peptostreptococcales; Peptostreptococcaceae
Description: partial 23S ribosomal RNA
Rfam family: Bacterial large subunit ribosomal RNA
Source: RNAcentral
UGGUCAAGUUAUUAAGGGUGCAGGGCGGAUGCCUUGGCACUAGGAGCCGAUGAAGGACGUGAUAAGCUGCGAUAAGCUUCGGGGAGUUGCACGUAAACUUUGAUCCGAAGAUUUCCGAAUGAGGAAACUCACUUAGAGUAAUGUCUAAGUAUCAUUAAGUGAAUACAUAGCUUAAUGAGGGGAACUCAGGGAACUGAAACAUCUAAGUACCUGAAGGAAGAGAAAGAAAUUCGAUUCCGUAAGUAGCGGCGAGCGAACGCGGAUUAGCCCAAACCAAUAAAGUUUUCUUUAUUGGGGUUGCGGACAUAUCAUAACGAAGAGAUAUCGUAAUUGAAGAGGUUUGGAAAGACCCACCACAGAAGGUAAUAGUCCUGUAUGUUAAACGAGAAGACUUU